CCCCCCAAAUCAUCUCAGACCUUUCAAGCGCUCCAUUUUUUACCCUCCACUGUCUCCACUACUGAAAAUCGCUCACGGAGGCGGUGCCACUCCAAUCCUACCCAAAUUCGUACUACACAAUCCCCACACCCUCCUAAAUCUUAAUCCCUUACCAAUUUCCCCAAAAUUCCCAUCAAACUCGUCAAAUUUCAAAUCUGAGAAGGCAGAAAACCUAAAUCCAUUUUUUUUUUUGGAAAUUCCGAAUUUGUUUUGGCUCAAGCUUAAGUGAGUCGAUUGCUCUUAACAUGAGCAAUCGAUUCAUGUUAGUUUGACUCAUUCCGAAACUAGCCUAACCUUCGUCAAAGAGUCACUGACUGGCCGGACUUUGUUGAAAAAUCGUUUUAAUUUAAUCGUCAUUCACUCCAUAGGUACAUUUUUUUUCUUUUCUGUAAUUUUUCUUUGUUUAUUUUUGUGUUUGUCAAAAACAUGGCAUUUCAUGAUUGUUUGUGUUCUGUUUGGUUUAACUUAAUUAGGUCAUUUUUGUUUAAUUUGCAGUAGAUUAAUAUUUAGCUUCAUAUAUUUGUUUUAAGUAAGUCACAUAAUUAGUUUUGUUUUUAGUGGUUUGUGUGAUCUAACAGCUUAGUGGCAUGUUAAUUAGUCUUAAUUUUUCUUUGAGUUAAUUAGAUUGGUUUUGCUUCGUUGUUUCUUAUAAAUGAUCCGUAGGUUUUGUUUUGGCCCAUUUGCAAUUAACAAAAAUUGAGGGGGGAGGGGUAAUCAGAAACCAAAAUUAGGGCAGAAUACUUAGGGGGUUUCUAGCAAAAGGUCUAAGGUACAAUAACAUAAAAGAAUUAGGUCAGAUUGGGGUAAAAGGGGUAGUUUUCAGAAGUUAAAGGUUUUUAAAAAAUAAGAGAAAAUAUCUGAAGAGGGACAGCUGUCCAAUUCAGUUAAAAAAAGAUGUCUUAUCUCCUAUGUUUUAGCUGACAGAAUCUUCCGCAUUCCUCUCUCAUUUUCCCUCACAAAAGCACACUCCUACACUUUAUAUAAUAGGCCAUAUAUCACUCACUCACACACACGAAUUAGACUGCAAUUUUUUUAGAGAUCUUUCAUUAUUUUUACUCUCAUUUUCAGUAGAAAAGCUUCUAAAAUUCUAGUCCUAAAAGCUACAGAAAAGACCAAAAACAUAGAGAAGAAUUCAAGCUUUCCCAUCUUUGUCCUUGUGUUGCACAUCUUUGUUAUAUAAACUUGAUUCACUGCUUAAAUUCCUUGUUCUACUGCUGAGAGCUGCUGUUGAGUUCUACUUUUCAGUUGUAAUUUUAUUUGGUUGUAAAGCUAUACUUUUCAAGUGUUUUCUAAAGGAUUUGGUUGGGGUUUUCUACUGUUUGUUGCUGGCUCUACUUCAGUUAGUAGCUGAACAUCAAUUUGAAGUUUGUUUCUGGUCUCUAUUUGGCUGCUUUUUAAAGUUUUAUCACUGCUAUCCAGGUAUUCAUCACUCUUCUGUUUAUGUGUUCAUCACUAGAAUCAAAUGAGAACAUGUUCAUUUUGGAAUUGAUAGUAUGUGAAAUGUGAAUCUGUUUUCAGUCAUGUCUAAAUGUGAUUUUGUCUUCCAUUACUAAUUUGUAUACUAUGACUGCUUAGUCUGAAUCUGAUAAAAAUGCAAUGACGUAUAGUAAUGUGUGAUAAGAGAAAGUUGUUAUUGUCUUGUGUGUUGGUAGCUUACAUGCCUAACCAUUAUUUGAGCAGGUUGUUAAUUGUGAAGUCAAUGGAAAAUUAAAAUCUCUAAUGAUAUGCAGGCUUGAAUGAAAAGAUGACCAUUUUGUGCUUAUAGCUGUAUAUUCUUAUAGAUGAACUAAAAUUGCAGGAUAAUUCCUUAUUCCUUAUUGAUUCCAGUAAAGAUUGUGAUCAUGAAUUUUAGUGUUAAAUUCUGGGCUUUCAUUAGCUUGAAUACCUAGGUUGUAAGUUUGAGGAUGUAGAUUGUUUACAAUCAGAUUCUCUGAUAAGCAUGAGGAUCUGAACAAUAUUAAAGAUCCAUUUUAGCAAUAUUAUUUCUACCAAUGAUUGUUCUAAUUACAUGAUUUGGUUAUUUUGUGCUUUGAAUGCGAGUAGCAUUUGCAGUAAUGAUUUUAUUCUACUUAUCAUUGAACUUCAAGACACGCUUGCUUUAUUAAAAUU
RNAcentral lists this long non-coding RNA (2148 nucleotides) under Nicotiana tabacum (common tobacco). RNAcentral describes it as "long non-coding RNA (NTAB_LNC008633)". The record is from RNAcentral. Lineage: Eukaryota; Viridiplantae; Streptophyta; Magnoliopsida; Solanales; Solanaceae.